CCUACGGGAGGCAGCAGUGGGGAAUAUUGGGCAAUGGAGGAAACUCUGACCCAGCGACGCCGCGUGCGGGAUGAAGGCCUUCGGGUUGUAAACCGCUUUCAGUAGGGAAGAAGCGAAAGUGACGGUACCUACAGAAGAAGCACCGGCUAACUAUGUGCCAGCAGCCGCGGUAAUACAUAGGGUGCAAGCGUUGUCCGGAAUUAUUGGGCGUAAAGAGCUCGUAGGUGGUUUGAUACGUCGGGUGUGAAAUUCAGGGGCUCAACCCCUGACCUGCAUUCGAUACGGUCAAGCUGGAGUUUGGUAGGGGAGACUGGAAUUCCUGGUGUAGCGGUGGAAUGCGCAGAUAUCAGGAGGAACACCGAUGGCGAAGGCAGGUCUCUGGGCCAAUACUGACACUGAGGAGCGAAAGCGUGGGGAGCGAACAGGAUUAGAUACCCUGGUAGUCCACGCCGUAAACGAUGGGCGCUAGUUGUGCGAACCUUCCACGGUUUGUGCGACGCAGCUAACGCAUUAAGCGCCCCGCCUGGGGAGUACGAUCGCAAGAUUAAAACUCAAAGGAAUUGACGG
RNAcentral lists this ribosomal RNA (567 nucleotides) under uncultured Actinomycetes bacterium. RNAcentral describes it as "bacterial SSU rRNA". It matches the Rfam family "Bacterial small subunit ribosomal RNA", at positions 338 to 916 of the family's 1533-position model. The record is from RNAcentral. Lineage: Bacteria; Bacillati; Actinomycetota; Actinomycetes.